RNAcentral lists this ribosomal RNA (300 nucleotides) under uncultured bacterium. RNAcentral describes it as "bacterial SSU rRNA". It matches the Rfam family "Bacterial small subunit ribosomal RNA", at positions 399 to 691 of the family's 1533-position model. The record is from RNAcentral.
GCGUGUGUGAAGAAGGCCUGCGGGUUGUAAAGCACUUUCAAUUGGGAAGAAAAGCGAAGGGCUAAUACCUCUUUGUCUUGACGUUACCUUUAGAAGAAGCACCGGCUAACUCCGUGCCAGCAGCCGCGGUAAUACGGAGGGUGCAAGCGUUAAUCGGAAUUACUGGGCGUAAAGGGUGCGUAGGUGGCCCGAUCAGUCAGAUGUGAAAGCCCCGGGCUUAACCUGGGAACUGCAUUUGAUACUGUCGAGCUAGAGUAUGGUAGAGGGAAGUGGAAUUCCGGGUGUAGCGGUGAAAUGCGU